RNAcentral lists this ribosomal RNA (273 nucleotides) under uncultured bacterium. RNAcentral describes it as "partial 16S ribosomal RNA". It matches the Rfam family "Bacterial small subunit ribosomal RNA", at positions 524 to 796 of the family's 1533-position model. The record is from RNAcentral.
UACGUAGGGUGCAAGCGUUGUCCGGAAUUAUUGGGCGUAAAGCGCGCGCAGGCGGGUCAACAAGUCAUGCGUGAAAGCUCCCGGCUAAACUGGGAGAGGUCGGAUGAAACUGUUGGUCUUGAGUGUGGCAGAGGCGUGUGGAAUUCCGCGUGUAGUGGUGAAAUGCGUAGAGAUGCGGAGGAACACCAGAGGCGAAGGCGGCACGCUGGGCCACAACUGACGCUGAGGCGCGAAAGCAUGGGUAGCGAACGGGAUUAGAAACCCCAGUAGUCC